Molecule: ribosomal RNA, 397 nt
Filed under: uncultured bacterium
Lineage: Bacteria
Description: partial 16S ribosomal RNA
Rfam family: Bacterial small subunit ribosomal RNA
Source: RNAcentral
AUACGUAGGUGGCAAGCGUUGUCCGGAAUUACUGGGAGUAAAGGGCGUGUAGGCGGGGAUGCAAGGCAGAUGUGAAAUUCCGGGGCUCAACCCCGGCGCUGCAUCUGAAACUGUGUCUCUUGAGGGCUGGAGAGGAAAGCGGAAUUCCUAGUGUAGUGGUGAAAUGCGUAGAUAUUAGGUGGAACACUAGUGGCGAAGGCGGCUUUCUGGACUGUAACUGACGCUGAGGCGCGAAAGUGUGGGGAGCAAACAGGAUUAGAUACCCUGGUAGUCCACACUGUAAACGAUGAAUACUAGGUGUGGGGGGUAUCGACUCCCUCUGUGCCGCAGUUAACACAAUAAGUAUUCCGCCUGGGGAGUACGGCCGCAAGGUUGAAACUCAAAUGAAUUGACGGGG